UUUUAAAGAGAGUUUGAUCCUGGCUCAAGACGAACGCUGGCGGCGUGCCUAAUACAUGCAAGUCGAACGAACGGAGGAAGAGCUUGCUCUUCCAA
Molecule: ribosomal RNA, 95 nt
Filed under: Listeria monocytogenes
Lineage: Bacteria; Bacillati; Bacillota; Bacilli; Caryophanales; Listeriaceae
Description: partial 16S ribosomal RNA
Rfam family: Bacterial small subunit ribosomal RNA
Source: RNAcentral